AUGGACAGAAUUUUUCUAUUAAUAGUCUUGGUGUUUGCCCCUUUAUGUAUCCUCUCUCAGACAAUACAAGAGUCUGGUCCUGGAACUGUGAGACCCUCAGAGUCACUCAGACUGACCUGCACAGUUUCUGGGUUUGAGCUAACUAGCUAUCAUGUGGUCUGGAUCAAGCAGCCUCUUGGGAAGGUGUUGGAAUGGAUUGCAAUAGUAUGGGCUGAUGGGAGCACAGCUGUUACUGAUUCACUUAAAAACAGAGUUACAGUUACUAAAGACAAUGGGAAGAAGCAGGUCUACCUCCAGAUGAAUGGGGCUGACGUUAAGGACACUGCCAUGUAUUACUGUACAGGAAACACAGUGACAGAAGAGAAUAAGAAACUCAGACAAUUUCAGACUGCAGGCUUGCCAUGCACAGAAAUGUAA
Xenopus tropicalis (tropical clawed frog) is the source of this 417-nucleotide non-coding RNA. NCBI's taxonomy places the organism in Eukaryota, Metazoa, Chordata, Amphibia, Anura, Pipidae. The record is from the annotation of a RefSeq genome assembly.